UCAGUCGACUCCUACGGGGAGGCAGCAGUGGGGAAUAUUGCACAAUGGGGGAAACCCUGAUGCAGCCAUGCCGCGUGUGUGAAGAAGGCCUUCGGGUUGUAAAGCACUUUCAGUAGGGAGGAAGGUAGUGUAGUUAACACCUGCACUAUUUGACGUUACCUACAGAAGAAGCACCGGCUAACUCCGUGCCAGCAGCCGCGGUAAUACGGAGGGGUGCGAGCGUUAAUCGGAAAUUACUGGGCGUAAAGCGCAUGCAGGCGGCCUGUUAAGUCAGAUGUGAAAGCCCGGGGCUUAACCUCGGAAUUGCAUUUGAAACUGGCAGGCUAGAGUCUUGUAGAGGGGGGUAGGAAUUUCAGGUGUAGCGGUGAAAUGCGUAGAGAUCUGAAGGAAUACCAGUGGCGAAGGCGGCCCCCUGGACAAAGACUGACGCUCAGAUGCGAAAGCGUGGGGAGCAAACAGGAUUAGAUACCCUGGUAG
Molecule: ribosomal RNA, 477 nt
Filed under: uncultured bacterium
Lineage: Bacteria
Description: bacterial SSU rRNA
Rfam family: Bacterial small subunit ribosomal RNA
Source: RNAcentral